AGAAAAGACAUAGAGACAAGCUUAAUUAGGAAUAGAUUGAGCAAAGGGUUUGACUACAUGAACCUUAUCCUGCUACAGAACUCAUGAACUGGGUUCCAGAAUUGAAACAAGAUUAUCCUUCUACGGACUCACUGGAGAAGGAGACGUGAACGUUUUUAAGGUGCAAAGCUCUUGAGAAUUGAGUUGGACUGAAAACCCAGCCUUAGCUUGCCAUGUUGCUGCUUGUUUUGUUGGACUACUCAUUUACCCCUGGAAAAGAGAUUUCUAGAGGCCCUGCACCAUCAGAACUAACUAGAAGAGGGCAGGGGGAAACUGAAUUCAGAAUCGUGUGAACAUAAGAUGAAGACUGAUAAAAUGGAUGAAGUAAUGAACUAUGAAGGAGGCAGUUCAUUCUUACAGAACAAAAGCCAGAAGAUCUUGCAGAUGGAUGCUUCCCACUGGAAUAUAAUGUCUUCUAGUAUCAGUCAUUAAUAAACAAUUUGACCAUUGGGACCAGUAAAUAUGAAUACUGCAGGAUUGUAUUUCCAAGAAUUAAAAAGAGUCUAUGAUGCUUCUGUCAC
Long non-coding RNA from Alligator sinensis (Chinese alligator), 560 nucleotides. RefSeq lists it as uncharacterized. NCBI's taxonomy places the organism in Eukaryota, Metazoa, Chordata, Crocodylia, Alligatoridae. The record is from RefSeq and is a predicted model, not a curated record. The transcript is spliced from 3 exons.